CAGCAGCCGCGGGAAUACGUAGGUGGCAAGCGUUGUCCGGAAUUAUUGGGCGUAAAGGGCUCGCAGGCGGUUUCUUAAGUCUGAUGUGAAAGCCCCCGGCUCAACCGGGGAGGGUCAUUGGAACCUGGGAAACUUGAGUGCAGAAGAGGAGAGUGGAAUUCCACGUGUAGCGGUGAAAUGCGUAGAGAUGUGGAGGAACACCAGUGGCGAAGGCGACUCUCUGGUCUGUAACUGACGCUGAGGAGCGAAAGCGUGGGGAGCGAACAGGAUUAGAUACCCCCGUAGUCCCUGUCUCUUAUAC
This 301-nucleotide ribosomal RNA is filed under the name uncultured bacterium. RNAcentral describes it as "partial 16S ribosomal RNA". It matches the Rfam family "Bacterial small subunit ribosomal RNA", at positions 509 to 807 of the family's 1533-position model. The record is from RNAcentral.